RNAcentral lists this transfer RNA (43 nucleotides) under Scrippsiella trochoidea. RNAcentral's name for it is "partial Selenocysteine transfer RNA". The record is from RNAcentral. Lineage: Eukaryota; Dinophyceae; Peridiniales; Peridiniaceae.
GUACGUGGUGGCUGGCCAGGCUUCAAAUCCAUACCCUGGUGGU